CCUACGUGAGGCAGCAGUGGGGAAUAUUGGGCAAUGGACGCAAGUCUGACCCAGCAACGCCGCGUGAAGGAAGAAGGCUUUCGGUAUGUAAACUUCUAUCAUCAGGUAAGCAAAUGACGGUACCUGACUAAGAAGCCCCGGCUAACUACGUGACAGCAGCCGCGGUAAUACGUAGGGGGCAAGCGUUAUCCGGAUUUACUGGGUGUAAAGGGAGCGUAGGCGGUUUAGCAAGUCAGAAGUGAAAGCCCGGGGCUCAACUCCGGGACUGCUUUUGAAACUGUUGAACUAGAUUGCAGGAGAGGUAAGUGGAAGUCCUAGUGUAGCGGUGAAAGGCGUAGAUAGUAGGAGGAACACCAGUGGCGAAGGCGGCUUACUGGACUGUAAAUGACGCUGAGGCUCGAAAGCGUGGGGAGCAAACAGGAUUAGAUACCCUUGUAGUC
This 440-nucleotide ribosomal RNA is filed under the name uncultured bacterium. Its description in RNAcentral is "partial 16S ribosomal RNA". It matches the Rfam family "Bacterial small subunit ribosomal RNA", at positions 338 to 795 of the family's 1533-position model. The record is from RNAcentral.